Molecule: ribosomal RNA, 251 nt
Filed under: uncultured bacterium
Lineage: Bacteria
Description: partial 16S ribosomal RNA
Rfam family: Bacterial small subunit ribosomal RNA
Source: RNAcentral
UACAGAGGUCUCAAGCGUUGUUCGGAUUCAUUGGGCGUAAAGGGUGCGUAGGCGGCGCGGUAAGUCGGGUGUGAAAUCUCGGGGCUUAACUCCGAAACUGCAUUCGAUACUGCCGUGCUUGAGGACUGGAAAGGAGACUGGAAUUACGGUGUAGCGGUGAAAUGCGUAGAUAUCGUAAGGAAGACCAGUGGCGAAGGCGGGUCUCUGGACAGUUCUGACGCUGAGGCACGAAGGUCAGGGGAGCAAACGGG